CCCCGCCAGAUGACUUUGUUGAUAUUGCUAACAGCUGUCAACGGUUUUACUUACGGAUAACGUUUUACGCCAUUUAGUUGAAAGUUAUCUAACAUAAGGUUAGGAGUUUAGGACUAAAAAGGAUGGAGAUAAAAGAGAAAUCGAACAGCUCCCGAUCAGGCUAAAUGGCAGCUAGAUCUGAGGACAUGGCUGUUAAAUCAUAGUGGGACUAUCUACUCCAUCUGCUCUAGAACAAAAGGCACAAGGAGCACUCUGUCGUGAAGACAAGCAACCAAACUUAUCAAAGGUAAGACAAAAUGUGUCAUAUCCAUGGGGGAUGUUAUCGGUAGUGAAUCGAAAAAUCAUGAAAUAAUAGUCAAUCCGCUUUUUCUUGCCACCCAAUGAUCAAUCUGUUGAUGUUUUUUGUCCUGAAAAUAUAUUUGCAAUGAGUAUUCAACAGCGGCAAGUUUCGAUAAUUGUAUAGCGAUUCGUGGUUAGCUUUUUCUUUCAUUAGCUUCGUUAAUUUCCGCCUGUAGCAAGAAACUCGUCUGAGUUAGUUAUCGUCUCCUCGUCCCAGAAGUCUGAUGAAUCUUCAUAUUCUUCGAUUGUGUCAACAUGAAAGCGAACCUCUUCCCGAUCUUCCUCGUUCAGAUGGACCAACAUCAUUCUUUUAUUACCCGAACUGGAUUGGUCUGUUCAACGACAACUGGCGCAUUCGCUACAGCUCGAUCAAACUGCUGGGCGAUUUUCUAUGCAAGAUUUCCGGCGUCUCUAAUAAAAUGCGGUAAAAUGUCUACGGAAACGUCUAGCGAGGAUGAUAACUUUGGAACGGAGCAGUCAGAUUACAAGUCCAUCAUGGCCGAUCAUGGCCACGUUUGGCCCGCCAGCAUACAGUUCGUCUUCUCUGGUUAUAAAGGUGAAAUAAUCGCCGCGCGUCAUUUUCAACAAUUCUUCUUGGCCCUGGGUGACGUUGACUACGUCUAGCACGUCCUUGAUUGUAUCUUCGGUAGAUAAUAAACGUUUCCGAUCUUAAUUCAUAAGAAUAUCUAUUCAAAACGUGCCGGGAACAAUUUUUGAAUGAGAAUCUUGUAUCAUCGAACACUAGGUGACACUACGGGGAUGACAUUUUAUUCUAAAUAAAUUAUUCGAAUUUCCCUUCCUAGAUGGCGAAAAUGUCGAGCUAUUACUGGCUCGAUUGAAAACGGGGCAUUAGAAUACGAUUAGGUAAAUGAGCCAUGUAAUUGCGGGUUUGCACUAGGUUUAAAUAGAUAUUACAUCUAUUCAUAAAACCAAUAUUGCGAUGUUAGUUUAAUUGGUUAUUACGCAGCUGUUUAUGCAUUGCGUUAAGGUUUAUGCUUACCAUUACGCAGCUGUUUAUGCAUUGCGUUAAGGUUUAUGCUUACCAUUACGCAGCUGUUUAUGUUUUGCGUUACGGUUUAUGCAUGACCAAAAAGUGGCACGAACGGCUUGCCAUAGUUUUGUUGAUUUGGGUCACAAGAAAUUAAUUGGAAGCUUCUCGGAAGCUAUGUUGGGGGACAGAGCUAGGUGUUGAUACCAUAGAAGUGUGACUCAGAUUUUCAUGCGAAUCAUCGCCCCCUAUUUUCUCUUAGUCUAUCCCCCUCUUCCAAGGGUGUAAAAAGAUAAAAAAGGUGGCGUAUGAAAAAAGGGGGACCGAG
This 1655-nucleotide long non-coding RNA is filed under the name Daphnia pulicaria. Its description in RNAcentral is "uncharacterized LOC124344611, transcript variant X1". The record is from RNAcentral. Lineage: Eukaryota; Metazoa; Arthropoda; Branchiopoda; Diplostraca; Daphniidae.